This 301-nucleotide ribosomal RNA is filed under the name uncultured bacterium. RNAcentral's name for it is "partial 16S ribosomal RNA". It matches the Rfam family "Bacterial small subunit ribosomal RNA", at positions 509 to 809 of the family's 1533-position model. The record is from RNAcentral.
CAGCCGCCGCGGUAAUACGUAGGGUGCAAGCGUUAAUCGGAAUUACUGGGCGUAAAGCGUGCGCAGGCGGUUUGUUAAGACAGAUGUGAAAUCCCCGGGCUCAACCUGGGAACUGCAUUUGUGACUGGCAAGCUAGAGUCUGGCAGAGGGGGGUGGAAUUCCGCGUGUAGCAGUGAAAUGCGUAGAUAUGCGGAGGAACACCGAUGGCGAAGGCGACCACCUGGGCUCAUACUGACACUGAGGUGCGAAAGCGUGGGGAGCAAACAGGAUUAGAUACCCCGGUAGUCCCUGUCUCUUAUAA